Molecule: long non-coding RNA, 881 nt
Organism: Pecten maximus
Lineage: Eukaryota; Metazoa; Mollusca; Bivalvia; Pectinida; Pectinidae
Exons: 2
Source: RefSeq, a predicted model, not a curated record
CAGGUGGCAUGCCACAACGUUGAAGAGUUCCAACGAAAAGUGACUUCCGUUUAUAGUAUAACUGCAGAAAAGUCUCGGAUAAAAAUGUAGACUAGUGAAUAUUUCUGGGUAUCAACGUUGUACCUUUCACCUGGAUUACAAACUAUUUAAAACUACCAAACACAGAUCUGUUCCAUGGGAAGUGGUACCAAGCUAGAGAAUUUCUGGAUACUUAUGGAUUAGAGGAAUCGGCGAACGUUUGUGAUUACUGGAAAAGGAUUUCCAGAGUCUGAAGAGCAAUGUGGCAUUCAUGUUUAAAAUUUAAACAUUCCUAUUGAAUAUGACAUGUGAGCUGAAAAUCUGUUUAAAUGUAUCACAGACUUAUACAUACAUGAUUCUCCUAUAUUAGUUCUGUAUUUGUUAAAAUAUAUAUAAAUAUGUCGUUUUCAAAUUAUGACAAGGAAACAGAGUGUGUAAUUAGCUGGUUCAAUAACUGGAGUGUAAUGCAGAAAGGUGAUUUUAUGUGCGAGUUGGUGGAGCGAGCUGUACCGACUAACGUUGACUCUCUAUUUGAUGCCAUGCACUCUUUAAAUGUGAGUAAUGACAGGCCUCCAAGUAUAUUCCAGUGUCAAAUGAAACUCUUCUCACAGUGGUUCGAUAGCUGGACAGACAAACAACGCAAUGACUUUAUGCUGAAACUCCACUGCACGGAUGCAGACUUUGUGACAAAAUUCAAUGAAGAGGUUGAGUUAUUGAAAGUAAAACUGUCAUAAAUUGAAGUGUACAUUCUGUGUUUGCUUUUCAGUCUUUGUAUAUACAUGUGCCUUUAAAAUUACAUAAAUUAUGAUUUACAUGUAUAGAGUUCAUUUAUGCAUGUGGCUAAAUAAAUAUAAUAAAUGCAU